This is a long non-coding RNA of Chlorocebus sabaeus (green monkey), 1311 nucleotides long. RefSeq lists it as uncharacterized. The record is from RefSeq and is a predicted model, not a curated record. Lineage: Eukaryota; Metazoa; Chordata; Mammalia; Primates; Cercopithecidae.
AGAGAUACCGUCCCAAGUGAAAGCAAUAAGCCUUAACCAAGGCUGUGACUUAACCAAGGAUUCACAAGGCAUCUCCAAACAUGUCUCACCUCAGAGAAAACACCGAGGAGGAAGUGAUCAUGCCUGUCUUCCAGUAACCUCUACCCUGGGCCUCUGAGAGCAGAUAGCACAGGGAAUGGGUAACCUCCCUUCCGCUGAACUGAGUCCUCCACCACCACUUAUCCAAGACCUCACCAUCCUGAGACACCUGCAGGGAAGAAAGAAAACAUUUCAUCUUGCUACCUCUGCCCGGGCCUUCCAGAGCCGACAGCAGGGGUGGGACUCUGGCAUCCUCUCCACUCCAGAGCGACUGAUCCCCUGAAUACUCACUCGGGAUCCUCACCGUGACUUCUGGAAUGGAAUAGACUUUCUCUUUCCUACUGAUCUGAGGCCUGGCCCCUCAGACCAUGGCUCUCACCUCCAGGAGACCUCUGUCUGGGAAGUUGAGGAAUCUCAUCCUGCCUGGGGUCUCCAGGGGAUGACAGCAGGGGCCAGCCAGACUCCAGGGCCCGCUAUAUCUGGCUUUAGUACAACAUGGGUUCUCAUGCUGGGGCCAACCCCUUGGCUGCAAUCAGGGCCCGGGAUCCAUUGCUGAUCUGAGGCUUCUGCUCCUAAAACCAACACCCUUACCUCCCAGUCUCCUGAGGAGGAGUGAGGAUGCAUUCAUUGCCUGUGUCAUUUGGCCUCCCCUUCCUGGGAUCUUCUAGGGCUGACAGCAGGGCUGGUGGUGACGGAGCUCUAUAGAGCCUCAUUUGUUCUGAAGGUAAGAAAGUUUUCUGCAGGAAUGAGUUCUGCUGCUUCUCCAGAAUGCGGUCAGACUUGUUCUGUCUCUUUUCCUUUCCAUUCCCCUAUAGCAUGUGUGUGUGUGUGUGACAUUUUCAUGUAUAUGGGAAUUUAUUUCUGGACCUGCUAUCCUUUUCCAUUAAUCAAUUUGUCAGUUCCUAAUCCAGAACCAUACUGUUUAACUGUUGCGUUAAGUUAGCUAUCACUUAAGCCAAUUCCCUGUUCAUUAGCUGCUUUUCUUUAGUCCGGUCUUGGUUUUAUAGCUGUUACAUAGCUGUGUAUUUAUCCAGGUCACCUUUAAGUUCAAUUGUAAUCCUAAACAUUUUCUCAUAUCUCAUGCAGGUUUUAUUAGAAUAUGACAUAUUCAUGGGUACAGAAUUUUCAUGGCCUUCAUUAAAGUUUUUCAUUUUCUUUUAACAAUAGAACCAUUUUUGCUAAGUUUAUUUCUAGAUAUAUUGUUAUUUAUAAUUACUGUUUAGAAUGCACUCC